Molecule: long non-coding RNA, 1358 nt
Filed under: Parus major (Great Tit)
Lineage: Eukaryota; Metazoa; Chordata; Aves; Passeriformes; Paridae
Description: lncRNA (ENSPMJG00000002092.1)
Source: RNAcentral
GGGAUGUGGAGUGCUGGGAAUGUGGGAUCCCAUCCCGGCGGGGAUUUGGGAUCCCAUUUUCCCAGGGAUCCAUCCCAUUUUCCAGGGAAUUCCGGCCCCCAUUUUCCCGGGAAUUCGGGCCCCCAUUUUCCCGGGAAUUCCGGCCCCCAUUUUCCCAGGGAUCCAUCCCAUUUUCCCGGGAAUUCCGGCCCCUGUUUUCCCAGGGAUCCAUCCCGUUUUCCAGGGAUCCAUCCCGUUUUCCAGGGAAUUCCAGCCCCCAUUUUCCCGGGAAUUCCGGCCCCUGUUUUCCCGGGGAUCCAUCCCGUUUUCCCGGGAAUUCCAGCCCCGUUUUCCCGGGAAUCCGGGCCCCCAUCCCGCCGGGAAUUCCGGCCCGCGCUGCCCGGGCUCAGACGAGAUGAGUCCUGGCACAUCCCCGCUCCCCCCCCCGCUCCUCCCGGCGCCAAGAACUAUUUUGGGAUCCAGGAAUUCGGGACUCCGGGGACACGAAACCCCCCCCAAAAAACCGGGAUGGGAAUUCCCGGAGGGAAAUCGGGCCUGGAUUCCUCCCCGAACACCCCCGGCCCCGCCGGUAUUCCCGGGAUUUGGCGUUUCCCAGGGGAUCGGUGCCGGUUCUCCGCCAGCAUUCCCGGGAAGAGGCCGGGAGAGCUCGGGAAUCGCUGCCAGCCCUUUCCCGCUCUCUUCCCGCUUUUCCCUGGAACAGCCGGAGCUGUGGGAUCACGGAAUUCCAGGAUUUUUAUUAUUUCUGGGAAGAAUUCCAACAGCCGUCCCCAAAUCCCCGCCUCGUCGCCGUCCAGGUGACACCUCCCGCUUUUCCCUGGAUUCCGGGAAUCCCGGGAAUUUUGGGGUUUGGGGGUCCCAGCUCGGUGUUAUCCCGGGGAUCCAGCCCCGUUUUCCCGGGAAUUCCAGCCCCCGUCUUCCCGGGGAUCCAGCCCCGUUUUCCCGGGAAUUCCGGCCCCCGUUUUCCCGGGAAUUCCGGCCCCCGUUUUCCCGGGAAUUCCGGCCCCCGUUUUCCCGGGGAUCCAGCCCCGUUUUCCCGGGAAUUCCGGCCCCCGUUUUCCCGGGAAUUCGGGCCCCCGUUUUCCCGGGGAUCCAGCCCCAUUUUCCCGGGAAUUCGGGCCCCCGUUUUCCCGGGAAUUCCGGCCCCCGUUUUCCCGGGGAUCCAUCCCAUUUUCCCGGGAAUUCCGGCCCCCGUUUUCCCGGGAAUUCCAUCCCCCGCUGCCGAUGUCACUCGGUGUCACCCCGGUGUCCCCGAGCCCGUUCGGUCCCAAUCCCCGUCCUCUAAUCCCGCAUUAAUUAAAUAUUCCAGCCCUUAAUUCCCCGUUAAUUGAAUCCUGCAGCUCCAAUCCCGGGGAUGGGCU